This is a long non-coding RNA of Cyprinus carpio (common carp), 2161 nucleotides long. The record is from Ensembl. Lineage: Eukaryota; Metazoa; Chordata; Actinopteri; Cypriniformes; Cyprinidae.
AUUUAUUAAUUUGAAUUAAAAUUUACACUCAAUACGUUAAUAUUGCAUACUGGUUUACAAUGUACUUCAAUAUUGAAGUGCAGAUAAUUGCCACUAUUUGCAAUAAGUAGUCAAAUUUUAGCAUAGUGUAAAUAGAAUCUAUAGUUAUUUGCACUUAGUGUAAAUAGCAUAUCACUAAAAAUGCUGCUAUUUGCACUUAGUGUAAAUAGCCGCUGCCAUUAGUUUAUUAGUACGUAGUUGAGAAUGUUGAGAAUGAAAAUCGUUGCUUCAUGCUACAAGUUUUCUUUCGGCAGGUUUGAGGCAGUUUAUGCAAAGCUGUGAAAAGAGCGUGCAUUUUGAAUGACAAAUAAUAUGCUUCGCUAUAAAUGCAACACGACACAAUGCGAUUUGGUUCAGUGAGAAGGCUGUGAUACGCUUAUGAGAUCACUGACUAAAAUCAGGACAGAAAUCAUGCUGACUAUUCUUCUGAUUAUGGCAAUGAUUGGCCAAGGUCAAUCAUGGGACAGCCUUGGAACCAGCUUCAUAACAAUAUUCCCAGAGAACAUAGCCUUCUACUAUCCGCUUAGUCCAGUGAACGCUCUCAAUAUCACUGCUGUCCUUCCCGACACUGUGGUGGAAGUCUUUAUCUCAGGGCAGUUGCCUUACACAUACACACUACUAGAAGGACAGCCCCUAACUGUGACCUUCUCAGUGGGUAUUGAGGAAUACCAAUUUGGUGAAAUUUCUCAGACUGUCAGAAUCAGCAGCACAAAGAACAUUGUAGUGCAAUCAAUCAGCAAGAAAGGAGACAGUGUGCAAACUAAUGUCAUUCAGCCUCGGAAAAACCUUGGUACAGUUUAUACCAUCCCCUUGCUGAAUUACAGCCAGAUGAUCAAUACUUUUUAUCAAUCAGCAAGAAAUAUCAGCAAGAGAUACAACUCCUUCAGGCUGGUUAUUAUCAACGGAGAAGAUUUGAUUAAUAAUGUCAAAAUUGUAAAAAGGUCUAUAGAAGAGAUUUACACACUCAGUCCGUUCACCGCUCUCCAGCUUAAAACUGACGGGACAGAAACUAAGAUUUAUUCUGAUUAUGGAGUGGCUGUGAUGCUGACCCAUCCUUGUGUAGAGACGGAUGAAUGCAGAUGCAACAUGGUGCUGAGCCAACUUUAUCCUGACGUUCAGGAGGAUAGCAGAUUUGUUGUACCCUCAAUACCCAACACCAGCAACUUUUGGCUACAUGUGACGUCCUCAGUGGAAACCAGUGCCAGUGGUGGGGAUCUAGAAUCGAGUACUGUGGAUGCCUAUUCCUCAAAACUCCUGUCCCUUCCAUCUCUGUACUUAGGAUCCCAGUUCAUCCACACAUCGAAUCCUGCUUCCCUCAGGCUUGUCAGUCCAGGCAUCAUCAUUGAACCGAUCUCACAAUAUAGGUUCUCUGGGUGCUACCUAGUAACUGUCAGCUCGACAGAUGCCAAGGCCUUAAUCAUUGCAGAAACAUACUACAGGGAUAGUGUGUAUAUAGAUAAUGAUUUGCUUUUAUCCACUGAAUGGAGCACCAUCGCCAAUUCAGUGUACUCAUCGGUGUUAGUGUCUUUUGAUGACACACACGUCAUUUGGCAUCCAUCCACAAAGAUCGGCGUGUACGUGUUUGAGAAGAGCACAAAUGUGUAUGGAGGCCCGGCUAUAUCUUUAAGCGCAAAGCCAGACCCUUCAGGCUGUGCAGUUGUUCCUCCUGAGUUUGACAUCAUCGUCACGCCUCAAACCUGGCCUGAAUCCCAUCAGCACUGUAAGCUCAUAAGUGACGAGUUAUUCAGUCCCAGCAAUGAAGACGCCCAAGCGGAGAUGGCCGACAUUCUGAAUAAUGAAGGUAUGAAUGAGAGGCUCUGGAUUGGCGUGCGUCGCAGUCUGAUGACGUUAGAUUGGUACCGGCAGAAAGGUAAAAGCUCACACAACUUGACAUACACUUGGUGGGGAACCGGAGAGCCAGGUGAUGCUGCAAAGGGCAUGUGUGCUUCGGUAUUCCCAAACCCAAGCAUGGAUUUCCUUUGGGAAACUACAAACUGUUGUACUAAAUUGAAAUCUAUCUGCUACACAAGGGCUCAGUACUUUACCAUCUCAAAAGAGACAGCUAAGCAUUCUAAUGCUUAAAAAAAUGAAGGUUAAUAAUAAAAACUGGCCAGGGAAAACA